AGCUAUGCCCUGCUGGGAAAAAAGCUUUCCUCCACAGAUCCUUAAGGGACACUUGCACAACAUAAAAUACAUAAAGUAUUUUGGCUGUGUUGCCAGCAGUUGGCAAGGCUGUCAUUCCACAAUGGGGAAGGCUUUGGUAAUGCUGAAUUAAAAUGCUGCUGUUCUCCACCUCUUUUUUUCCUCCUCACUUGUGCUGGUCCAGCUAUUUGUGAUUCCAUGUGGCACAUUGGUUUAGAAAAAUAAGUAACCCAUCCAAAAGGGAAAAGCCCCGCAGCCUGAGUUGGCAUCUGUGGUGUUAAACGUUGCAAUUGUGCUUUUAAUAAUUAAGUCACAGGGAAGAUGUGUAAGGUGAAAACCAAUGCAGCUUAAUGAGCUGUCGUCUACGGCUCUGUCACGGCAGCUGGAGCCUCAUGUAAACUGGAAGGACAAUUGAUUUUUUAUUUAUUUAUUUAUUAAUUUUUUAGGCACUGGACUGGGGUUUGGGAGACUGAAGUCCUGGUCCUACCACUGCCACGGGUUGCUGGUGUCAUCUCAAGUGAGUUACUUCAUCUGCAUCAGUCUUGACCAAAGAAACGCAUUUUGUGACACACCAGCAGAGGUCUGUUUGCCCUCACUGCAAGGCUGGAUCCAUGGUGUCCUUCCUGAGAGCAGCCAUGGAGUUACGCUAGAGGCUCUGCUCUUCCCUUUUCUUUCAUUUGUUGGCAGACUCCUCAGCCUGGAAACAUGACUGCUGAGGUGAUGAUAUGAUGGAGGUCUAAGGUAUAUUGGCAUGGAGAAGGUAAGGAACAACAAUUUGCUCUGCCUCAUACAAGAAUUAAGGUGUACCAGAUGAAAUUAUCAGGUGGCACUUGAAACAAAAGAAGGUGCUGUUUUGGCAGGUUGUAUGGUUCAGCUGGGGAGCUUAUGGCUGUGGGACAUCAUAGAUGGCAAACAUGGUAUGGGCUCAAAAAGCAGCUAAACAUGGAAAAGAAAAAUCCAUUGAGGGUUAUUUAUCACAAAGACAUCAGCUGUGAUUCAAAGUCCCUGAGCAAUAAGGUAUCAGGAUGCCAGGGAAGUAUAGCUGUUAGAUUUUCCUCCAUGUGCUGUGCCCUCGCUGGCUGCUGGUAGCCUUUGAGACAGCAUGCAGGAUUCAGAUGACCCUUUAGUUUGACUCAGUUGGCUGAAGCUACUGCAGAGUCUAUAGCAGAUGGAGUGAUACUGCUGAUACUUCCAUAGCUUUGCUUCCCCAGGGGCUUUAAAUGCAUUUUUCGAGGCUCUGCAGUCGAACAAGAGAGUUCUUUGUGUUUAUUUUCCUACUGUAGCUUUCCCUCUUUUAAAGAGAGACAGCUGGUUUUGUGAAUGGUACUUAACAGUUCUUUCAAACUCAAUUAGGCACUUGGGAGCCAGGAGUUGCAAGCACUCGGCUUCUAUAGCGAGCAAAGGAUUUUCCCCCCUGCAGCUUCUGUUAUACCAUCAUUUCCAAGAUGUCCACACUCUGUGAGCUGAGGUUUUAAAAACUGGCCAUUUGUUAGUGUCUGAAAGCCUUGGAAAUAGUGGCCAGUCCUGCUUGCUUUGCUCUCCUAACUUUGAAAUGCUCUGAAACAAUUUAAUUCAUCACUUCCCUUUUAAUCAAGGAGAAAGAAAAAAAAUCAGGCUCUGUCCCAACCCUGAACUGACUUGAAUCUUGUGUCUACAACAAAUGCCAGGGAUUUUUUUGGCAGGCUUGACAACAAACCAUUCUUGCAUUUGAAAUGGCUGGACAGUGAAACUAAAGUGCUUUUACCUUUUGUAUAAGUGCAUAUCAGGGCGCAGUGUUUUGUGCAGGGUCUGCUGCUCAUGCCCUGUAGCUGUGCCCACGUACUGCCCAGCCAGGCAUUAAGUGAUGUGAUUAACAGCUGUCACAUGUGGUUGACUCUGCCUCUGAUCUCCAGGCUGGGGAGAUCUGUGUGUGCAGUGGAGGGUUUUAUUUUGCUAGCAGAGCUCUGUGAAAGGUUUCCCUCCCAGGAAAUUGUUUCUGAUACUUUAAUGUUGGUCUUUGUCCUGACUGAAAAUUAAGACCUCA
Long non-coding RNA from Haliaeetus leucocephalus (bald eagle), 2041 nucleotides. RefSeq lists it as uncharacterized. The record is from RefSeq and is a predicted model, not a curated record. Lineage: Eukaryota; Metazoa; Chordata; Aves; Accipitriformes; Accipitridae. The transcript is spliced from 2 exons.